CCUACGGGGGGCAGCAGUGAGGAAUAUUGGUCAAUGGCCGGAAGGCUGAACCAGCCAUGCCGCGUGAAGGUCAGUGCCCUAUGGGCGUUAAACUUCUUUUGUGCGGGAGCAAUAAUGGUCACGUGUGGCCAGACGAGAGUACCGUACGAAUAAGCAUCGGCUAACUCCGUUCCAGCAGCCGCGGUAAUACGGGGGAUGCAAGCGUUAUCCGGGGUUAUUGGGGUUAAAGGGUGCGUAGGCUGUGAGGUAAGUCAGCGGUGAAAUGCCCCCGCUCAAAGGGGUGAAGUGCCAUUGAUACUGCCUUGCUGGAGUGCGGAUGCCGUGGGAGGAAUGUGUGGUGUAGCGGUGAAAUGCAUAGAUAUCACACAGAACACCGAUUGCGAAGGCAUCACACGAAUCCGCGAUUGACGCUGAGGCACGAAAGCGUGGGUAUCAAACAGGAUUAGAUACCCGUGUAGUC
This 460-nucleotide ribosomal RNA is filed under the name uncultured bacterium. RNAcentral describes it as "partial 16S ribosomal RNA". It matches the Rfam family "Bacterial small subunit ribosomal RNA", at positions 338 to 795 of the family's 1533-position model. The record is from RNAcentral.